GAGUUUAAGUUAGAUUUUAAACCCGGGACCUUCAAAGCCCCAAACAGAGGGCACCUCUAACUCCUG
RNAcentral lists this transfer RNA (66 nucleotides) under Pachydactylus vanzyli. Its description in RNAcentral is "tRNA-Trp". The record is from RNAcentral. Lineage: Eukaryota; Metazoa; Chordata; Lepidosauria; Squamata; Gekkonidae.